GGAAAACACCAUGGUUCAGUGGCAGGGAAUCUGCUUUGCAUGCAGAAGGUCCCGGGUUCAACCCCCGGCCUCUCCA
Non-coding RNA from Podarcis lilfordi (Lilford's wall lizard), 76 nucleotides. The record is from the annotation of a GenBank genome assembly. Lineage: Eukaryota; Metazoa; Chordata; Lepidosauria; Squamata; Lacertidae.